RNAcentral lists this long non-coding RNA (528 nucleotides) under Felis catus (domestic cat). RNAcentral describes it as "lncRNA (ENSFCAG00000042554.2)". The record is from RNAcentral. Lineage: Eukaryota; Metazoa; Chordata; Mammalia; Carnivora; Felidae.
CUUCAUCAUUGUGGGUCCCGGAGGAGCUAUAAUGAGCAGCACACCCCUUCAUCCCUGCAAUAAACUGAAAGUGGGGACAAGAACAAGAUUAUGGGAAAAAGCCAGUUCCAAAAAGAUGAUGAUAUUCUUCAGUGGUAUAUUACAGAAGAAAUAUUGCAAUCUUCAUUCAUUGCAAGGUCACUGUUUUCCGCCAAAUGUGGGUUACACUUGUUCUAAAACCAUCGUCUGCAUCUGUUUUGUUUCCACUCCUGUCCAACCACUCACAAUUCUUCAUGCACACUUCCGGUCGUGGCGUUCACCUGCUCCAAAUGUCAAAGCUCCUCAUGGCCCACACUAUAGGCCCUGUGUCUACAAUUUACCUUUCUAUUUCCAGGUCACUAUAUAGCUGGUGACUUACACUCCAGAUAAAUUCAUCUAUGUACUUUUUUAGAAUGUAUCUUGCAUUGUCACCCGUGCGUGAAAUUUCUCAACUUGAAAUUUUCUGUGUGUCUAUAAAGAUUCACUGAUCUCUCUAUCCGAAAGUUGCCC